UGGGGAAUAUUGCACAAUGGAGGGAACUCUGAUGCAGCGACGCCGCGUGAACGAAGAAGGCUUUCGAGUCGUAAAGUUCUUUUAUAUGGGAAGAUAAUGACGGUACCAUAAGAAAAAGCCCCGGCUAACUACGUGCCAGCAGCCGCGGUAAUACGUAGGGGGCUAGCGUUGUCCGGAAUCACUGGGCGUAAAGGGUUCGCAGGCGGAAAUGCAAGUCAGGUGUAAAAGGCAGUAGCUUAACUACUGUAAGCAUUUGAAACUGCAUAUCUUGAGAAGAGUAGAGGUAAGAGGAAUUUUUAGUGUAGCGGUGAAAUGCGUAGAUAUUAAAAAGAAUACCGGUGGCGAAGGCGACUUACUGGGCUCAUUCUGACGCUGAGGAACGAAAGCGUGGGUAGCAAACAGG
This 403-nucleotide ribosomal RNA is filed under the name Verrucomicrobiota bacterium. RNAcentral describes it as "Verrucomicrobia bacterium partial 16S ribosomal RNA". It matches the Rfam family "Bacterial small subunit ribosomal RNA", at positions 355 to 776 of the family's 1533-position model. Lineage: Bacteria; Pseudomonadati; Verrucomicrobiota. The record is from RNAcentral. RNAcentral also lists the same sequence under 1 other name.